This 357-nucleotide long non-coding RNA is filed under the name Manihot esculenta (cassava). RNAcentral describes it as "long non-coding RNA (MESC_LNC010542)". The record is from RNAcentral. Lineage: Eukaryota; Viridiplantae; Streptophyta; Magnoliopsida; Malpighiales; Euphorbiaceae.
AGAAGAGUAAUGAAGUCUUAUGUAUGUAAUAGUUAGAAUGUGGACAUGACAAAUUGUAUAAUGAUGUAUAGAAAUGUAAUGUAAUGAUGUUGAGGUUUAGAAGUGUGCUUGACCAUAGUAUAUUGUGAUCCCUUUUUGAUACAUGAUCUUAAUGUUUAUUAAUGUCUAUGUUUAGCCAACUCAACACAUGUUAUGCUACCCAUUGGGGGCAUUGAUGAGAUCCCACAGAGGGGUCAAGAUUAUGAUUAUGAUUAUGUUGAGUGCAUGCACAGGUUGAGUUUGGUGUAUGAUAGCAAGUAUGAAAGAAAAGUUUUAAAUUCUUAUGUAUGUUGUUGAUCAUGUAUGGGAUUAAACAGG